Molecule: unclassified non-coding RNA, 23 nt
Filed under: Dictyostelium discoideum
Lineage: Eukaryota; Evosea; Eumycetozoa; Dictyosteliales; Dictyosteliaceae
Source: RNAcentral
AUCAGAUUGCAUCACAAAGGAUU